GAUAAUCUUCAGGGCAGGGUGUAAUUCCCUACCGGCGGUAUAGCCCGCGAGCCAAAUUUUGGUAUGAUUCGGUGAAAUUCCGAGGCCGACAGUAAAGUCUGGAUGGAAGAAGAGAGAA
RNAcentral lists this non-coding RNA (118 nucleotides) under Clostridium pasteurianum. RNAcentral describes it as "FMN sequence". It matches the Rfam family "FMN riboswitch aptamer (RFN element)". From Rfam's summary of the family: The RFN element is a highly conserved domain that is found frequently in the 5'-untranslated regions of prokaryotic mRNAs that encode for flavin mononucleotide (FMN) biosynthesis and transport proteins. This element is a metabolite-dependent riboswitch that directly binds FMN in the absence of proteins. In Bacillus subtilis, the riboswitch most likely controls gene expression by causing premature transcription termination within the 5' untranslated region of the ribDEAHT operon and precluding access to the ribosome-binding site of ypaA mRNA. The record is from RNAcentral. Lineage: Bacteria; Bacillati; Bacillota; Clostridia; Eubacteriales; Clostridiaceae. RNAcentral also lists the same sequence under 1 other name.